Molecule: ribosomal RNA, 253 nt
Filed under: uncultured bacterium
Lineage: Bacteria
Description: partial 16S ribosomal RNA
Rfam family: Bacterial small subunit ribosomal RNA
Source: RNAcentral
UACGAAGGUCCCAAGCGUUAUCCGGAUUUAUUGGGUUUAAAGGGUGCGUAGGCGGAUUAUUAAGUCAGUGGUGAAAGCUCCAUGCCUAACAUGGAAAUUGCCAUUGAUACUGAUGAUCUUGAGUACAUUUGAAGUGGGCGGAAUGUGUCAUGUAGCGGUGAAAUGCUUAGAUAUGACACAGAACACCGAUUGCGUAGGCAGCUCGCUAAACUGUAACUGACGCUGGGGCACGAAAGCGCGGGGAGCAAACAGG